This 520-nucleotide ribosomal RNA is filed under the name uncultured bacterium. RNAcentral's name for it is "bacterial SSU rRNA". It matches the Rfam family "Bacterial small subunit ribosomal RNA", at positions 49 to 558 of the family's 1533-position model. The record is from RNAcentral.
UUUAACAUGCAAGUCGAACGGCAGCAUAGAGAGCUUGCUCUCUGAUGGCGAGCGGCCGUAAGGGUGAGUAAUAUAUCGGAACGUGCCUAGUAAUGCCGGAAUAACUAGCUGAAAGGUUAGCUAAUGCCGCAUACGACCUACGGGUGAAAGCAGGGGAUCUUCGGACCUUGCGUUAUUAGAGCGGCCGAUAUCUGAUUAGCUUGUUGGUGGGGUAAUGGCCUACCAAGGCGACGAUCAGUAGCUGGUCUGAGAGGACGAUCAGCCACACUGGAACUGAGACACGGUCCAGACUCCUACGGGAGGCAGCAGUGGGGAAUUUUGGACAAUGGGGGCAACCCUGAUCCAGCCAUUCCGCGUGAGUGAAGAAGGCCUUCGGGUUGUAAAGCUCUUUCGCAAGAGAAGAAAACUUGCUAUCUAAUAAAUAGUAAGCAUGACGGUAUCUUGACAAGAAGCACCGGCUAACUACGUGCCAGCAGCCGCGGUAAUACGUAGGGUGCAAGCGUUAAUCGGAAUUACUGGG